This 1100-nucleotide ribosomal RNA is filed under the name uncultured organism. RNAcentral describes it as "bacterial SSU rRNA". It matches the Rfam family "Bacterial small subunit ribosomal RNA", at positions 357 to 1486 of the family's 1533-position model. The record is from RNAcentral.
GGGAAUAUUGCACAAUAGGCGAAAGCCUGAUGCAGCGACGCCGCGUGAGUGAAGAAGGCCUUCGGGUCGUAAAGCUCUUUUGUAGGGGAAGAGGAAGGACGGUACCCUAAGAAGAAGCGUCGGCUAACUACGUGCCAGCAGCCGCGGUAAGACGUAGGACGCGAGCGUUAUCCGGAAUUACUGGGCGUAAAGGGCCAGCAGGCGGCUUGGUAAGUUGUGCGUGAAAGCCUCGUGCUCAACGCGAGGAAGCCGGACAAUACUGUCAAGCUAGAGGGCAUCAGAGGGGAAGUGGAAUUCCCGGAGUAGCGGUAAAAUGCGCAGAUAUCGGGAGGAACACCGAUGGCGAAGGCAGCUCCCUGGGAUGCACCUGACGCUAAGAGGCGAAAGCUAGGGGAGCGAACAGGAUUAGAGACCCUGGUAGUCCUAGCUGUAAACGCUGGGUGCUAGGUGUGGGACGUAGAAGUUCCGUGCCGGAGCAAACGCGAUAAGCACCCCGCCUGGGAAUUACGGUCGCAAGGCUAAAACUCAAACGAAUUGACGGGGCCCCGCACAAGCAGCGGAGCGUGUGGUUCAAUUCGAUGCUACACGAAGAACCUUACCUGGGUUUGACAUGUACGUGGUACGAAGGCGAAAGCCUAAGGACCCUUCGGGGAGCGUACACAGGUGCUGCAUGGCUGUCGUCAGCUCGUGCCGUGAGGUGUCGGGUUAAGUCCCGUAACGAGCGCAACCCUUGCCCUUAGUUACAAGUGUCUAAGGGGACUGCCGGCGGGAAGCCGGAGGAAGGUGGGGAUGACGUCAAGUCAGCAUGGCCCUUAUGUCCAGGGCUACACACACGCUACAAUGGUCAGUACAAAGGGUAGCGAAGUCGCGAGGCGGAGCGAAUCUCAACAAAGCUGAUCGUAGUUCGGAUUGCAGGCUGCAACCCGCCUGCAUGAAGCUGGAGUUGCUAGUAACCGCGCGUCAGCCAUAGUGCGGUGAAUACGUACCCGGGGCUUGUACACACCGCCCGUCACGUCAUGGGAGUCGGUAACGCCUGAAGCCGGUAGUCUGGCCCGCAAGGGGGACGCUGUCGAAGGCGGGACUGGCAACUGGGACGAAGU